UACAGAGGUCCCAAGCGUUGUUCGGAUUCACUGGGCGUAAAGGGUGCGUAGGUGGUGGGGUAAGUCUCGUGUGAAAGCUCGCAGCUUAACUGCGAAAAGUCACGGAAUACUAUUCCGCUGGAGGCUUGGAGAGAGGACUGGAAUACUUGGUGUAGCAGUGAAAUGCGUAGAUAUCAAGUGGAACACCAAUGACGAAGGCGAGUCCCUGGACAAGACCUGACACUGAGGCACGAAAGCCAGGGGAACAAACAGG
This 253-nucleotide ribosomal RNA is filed under the name uncultured bacterium. RNAcentral's name for it is "partial 16S ribosomal RNA". It matches the Rfam family "Bacterial small subunit ribosomal RNA", at positions 524 to 776 of the family's 1533-position model. The record is from RNAcentral.